Molecule: long non-coding RNA, 753 nt
Filed under: Phasianus colchicus (ring-necked pheasant)
Lineage: Eukaryota; Metazoa; Chordata; Aves; Galliformes; Phasianidae
Description: lncRNA (ENSPCLG00000021568.1)
Source: RNAcentral
UUGAGUUCUUACAUCAACCUUUUGGACUGGAAACGUUCUUUAAAAGGCAAAAAUGGUUUCAGUUUCUAACAUUAUGUAAUGAAAGUUUAUCUCUUGCUCUGCUGACAGCAAUAAAUAGUUCCUGUUGUGCUCUUUAUUGCCAUUUUAAUGGCAGAACUCCCAAAGCUGACAAGAUGCUGCAUUUUACUUUACAAGAAACUAUUCUGAGAGAUUCCAUUGAUUGAAGAGCCCUGCUUGACAAGCUUAUUAUAAUGCAUAUGUGAAUCCAUACCCUCUUUAGACAAUGCAGCAGAGUCUGGAGUUCUACUGCUUUGCAUGAGAACCUUCUUAUCCAUUCUCUGUACUCAGAGUCAAGUCCACCAGUUACUUGCAGGCUGCCACAGAGUGGGAGGACUUGGCUUGGGUGAGGCUGCUUAAAGCUAAGGUGCCGUGCUUUAAUCUGGCAGGAUCUCAGCACCACACAGCUGUUGGCUCACCUCCUGCCUCCUGUGGGACCAGGGAGGACUUAGCAGAAAAAUGCAAGAACUCACGGGCUGAGGAAAGGGCCCUUCGAUAACUGAAUUAUCUUCUACCUUCAGAAUUGAGACCAGAAUUGAGUGCUAUGCUGAGGAUUCUAUUUGGCUUUAUGUGAUAUCUAAGACAUAGAAAGAAAUCGAGGACCUUCUGGUUCCCAUCUAGUGAGCACUAAGACUGGAGAUCUGGGCAUAAUGACAAACUGCUGCUUUGGAGGAUGUCAGUAAUCACGCUUAAAUU